RNAcentral lists this long non-coding RNA (364 nucleotides) under Citrus sinensis (sweet orange). RNAcentral describes it as "long non-coding RNA (CSIN_LNC003036)". Lineage: Eukaryota; Viridiplantae; Streptophyta; Magnoliopsida; Sapindales; Rutaceae. The record is from RNAcentral.
CCAAGCUUCUGCAGCUUCGAAAGUGAACCUGGGAUCGUCCCAGAAAGAUUGUUAAAUGAAAGCUCCAAGAAUGUUAAGUUGGUGAGUUGGCUGAUAAAAUCAGGAACCGGCCCAGAAAUGUUUGUCCAGCUAAUACGUAGCGUCUUCAGGUUUUUGAGCUUGGCAAUGGCGGGUUGUAUGGGGCCAGUGAGGCUGGGUAGCUUGUGAAACAUUAGGGUUUCGAGGUAAGGAAGAUCACCAACUUCGGGGGGGAUCUGGCCGGGGAGAUCUCCGGCGAAGAUGGUGAGAGAGUUGAUGCGGUUAGUGGUGAGAUCGCAUGUGACGCAGUACCAGUCACAGCAGUCAGUUUUUGGGUUCCAAGAAG